This 162-nucleotide small nuclear RNA is filed under the name Chinchilla lanigera (long-tailed chinchilla). Its description in RNAcentral is "U1 spliceosomal RNA (ENSCLAG00000020087.1)". It matches the Rfam family "U1 spliceosomal RNA". From Rfam's summary of the family: U1 is a small nuclear RNA (snRNA) component of the spliceosome (involved in pre-mRNA splicing). Its 5' end forms complementary base pairs with the 5' splice junction, thus defining the 5' donor site of an intron. Lineage: Eukaryota; Metazoa; Chordata; Mammalia; Rodentia; Chinchillidae. The record is from Rfam by way of RNAcentral.
AUAUUCAUCUGGCAGAGGAGAGAUCAUGCUCGUGAAGGUGGUUUUCCAAGGGUGAGGUCUAUUCAUUGCACUCUGGGUGUGCUGACCCCUGUGAUUUCCCCAAAUGUGGGAAACUCAAUUGCAGAAUUUGUGGUAGUGGGGCCUGUGUCGCACUUUGCCCUG